AGCUGGGAUGCAAGGAAAACCAACAUGGUCCAGAGCUGAACUGAGACACAAAACAAAAUACAGAUCUGCAUGCUUACACCUACACUCUCUGGCCACUUUCUUCGGUCUAAUGAGGCACCUGGUUGAGCCUCAUUUUACCUUCAGACCUGCCUUAAUUUUUCAUUGCAUAGAUUUAACAAGUGGAUCAGCCAUGGACAAAGGUUUGCUGCUGGUCCUGUUGUGUCUGCAGGUCGUCCUGCUCACCACAGUCUUCACUUCUGCUGAUGCAGCCGCUCUGCUGAGAGAUGAUCAGCAUCAACAACCUGUUGAUCCAAUGAGAAGUCUGCAGCAAAUGAAAGGAAGACGACAGACGGAGCAGAAACUUCCAUACUGGAUAUUCUGCGGGAGGAGACGAGGAGGAUGCACUUUGACAGGAGACCUGCCACGUCCUGGGAUCAUCUUUUGACCAGUUCAAGUCACAUUCAAUAGACAUCUUGAGUCAAGCUCUGCAGGAAAUGCCAUUAGAUGCAAAAGACAGCAAAUGAAUGAAGAUAAUUGUAAUGCUUACAAAAUAAUGCAAGUGCUUUUUAUUAGAAAUAAAAAUUUCAAAUCAGA
This is a long non-coding RNA of Amphiprion ocellaris (clown anemonefish), 594 nucleotides long. Lineage: Eukaryota; Metazoa; Chordata; Actinopteri; Pomacentridae. The record is from Ensembl.